This 551-nucleotide ribosomal RNA is filed under the name uncultured fungus. Its description in RNAcentral is "SSU rRNA". It matches the Rfam family "Eukaryotic small subunit ribosomal RNA", at positions 548 to 1090 of the family's 1831-position model. Lineage: Eukaryota; Fungi. The record is from RNAcentral.
GGGGGGGNCCANUCUGGUGCCAGCAGCCGCGGUAAUUCCAGCUCCAANAGCGUAUAUUAAAGUUGUUGCAGUUAAAAAGCUCGUAGUUGAAUUUCGGGAUUGACGUGAUGGUCGUGCCUUACGGGGUAUGAACUGUUGCUGUUGAUUUCUCACCUUCUGGAGAAUCUUGAUGUCCUUAAUUGGGUGUCUUGCGGAUCCAGGACCUUUACCUUGAAAAAAUUAGAGUGUUUAAAGCAGGCAUUUUUGCUCGAAUACAUUAGCAUGGAAUAAUAGAAUAGGACGGCAUGGUUCUAUUUUGUUGGUUUCUAGGAUCACCGUAAUGAUUAAUAGGGAUAGUUGGGGGCAUUAGUAUUCAAUUGUCAGAGGUGAAAUUCUUGGAUUUAUUGAAGACUAACUACUGCGAAAAGCAUUUGCCAAGGAUGUUUUCAUUAAUCAAGAACGAAAGUUAGGGGAUCGAAGACGAUCAGAUACCGUGCGUAGUCUUAACCAUAAACUAUGCCGACUAGGGAUCGGAUGAUGUUAAUUUUAUUAAUGACUCAUUCGGCGCCUUA